Molecule: long non-coding RNA, 5583 nt
Organism: Cephus cinctus (wheat stem sawfly)
Lineage: Eukaryota; Metazoa; Arthropoda; Insecta; Hymenoptera; Cephidae
Exons: 12
Source: RefSeq, a predicted model, not a curated record
CAAUGAAAGUCGCACGAUCAGGCAUAGAGUGAAAAAGAGGCCAGAAAGUACCAUUGCAGCACCCAUUGUAGUACGAAUCAAAUAUAGCCGGUUCAACGUGUACAGCAACAACCUGCAUCAAAGUAAUAUGACGGGGGAUUUAAUCUAGUGAGAAAUAAUAAAAAUGCAAAAAAGAAGAGUGACGAUGUCGUGCGAGGAAAACAGUCGAUAUCACCGUAAUCGGAAGUGCAUAAAGUCCAGACGUAACGAGCCCGAUAAAAGUUAUUGUUUUUAGUAUUUUUCUAAAGAUUUUGACCCCCACGCCAUGCCUCCUCCUGCUCAUCGUUAAUUGGUUAUUAUACGAAGAAUGAAUCGCUUAUUAUUCACUAGUAACAUCCCAUUCUUUAUGCUACCGAAGCCAUCAAAACACCUCGUAUACUCGGAACUAUUGACGCAAGCUGCAAUCGCCUUUCCGAUAAGCUAAUAUUUCGCUCCUUAGACACAACUUUAAGUCGCGCAUCGGUACGUUAUUAUCAUGAGUAGUACGAUUGCGACUUUACACAAUAGGGAGAGAUCAACAAGGAAUAUUGAAGUGAUCUCGGAGCACAGAUAUAAAAUACACUAGAUUAGUAUUUUAAGAUAGCGACGUGAUAACUUAUCGUCAAACGUCAAGAUUGACUCGUCCAAGAUACACGUGGCUCUAGAUUACAAAUUGAAGAUUUAUAGAUGAAAUUCAAUUCACUUUUCUCUAACACGACACGCUAGACUGGAUAUGCGGGUGACAUUGACCUUUCUACGGCCUAGUGACAAUAUCAGCCCGAUAUUCAAGGCAUCCAGCUUCUGGUAUCGCGAAAAAAAUUGCAUAACGCCGAUACGCGAUUCCGUUGACCUAGUCAGUUUACGUGAUUGGCGACAAAACCAGCAGCUAAAUUGCAAGCAAUCGUAAUCGUGAUCCAUCAAGGGGAUAACAGUAUUGGCGAGGAGGGAUAAUUCCAGUGGAUCAAAACUAUCACGUAAUGACUCAUCAUCCUCAUUAAGGUCGCAAUAUCAUCAACGGUACUGGAUCAUACAUCAGUUUUGGAAUCCGAGUGAGAUUCCGCAUCUAUACAAUUAAGAAAGAUCAUCUUGUGACCGUCCAUGUGAAUUAGGACUUAUCACAAGAAACUUGGGGCCGCGAAUGAUAACGGUGUUAACUACGCACGUCAUUCAACUGAUAACCCCUCUGAACUCUGAUGAUGUCGAUCACGACAUUCGAUCGUUGCCUCUUCGGGUACUGAUUGUGUGACUGGUACCAGGUCACACGGAGGUUCGCAUAUGGGUCGCGCAGCUGUCAAUCCUUAAAGUGUAGAAAAAAUGUACGGAUGAAAUUGGAUUUCUGGGAUAGUUUCUUUUUAUCUUUUUUUCAGGUAUUGGAUAUACGUAAAAUUUGGAUAAAAGAACGAGAGCAGCGUGAAAGAUUGACUUGCAAGAGACUAUGGGAAAAUAGGUUGGAAAAUACCGAUAAGAACUUCCGUUUGAACUCCCUUUUGUUUCCUAAAUUCAUUGGCUUCCCGUUUGAGGCACGAAUUAAUCGGUUCGCAUUGAUUACCCAGUCAAAGUUCAAAGAUCUGCUGCACAUCAUAGCUGUAUUAUGGAAAAAAAAUUAUUGUUAGGAAAUUCUGAAGAACAGAUCAACCACUGCUCCUCUGCGUGCUGCAUGUAUAUGAGAUACUGAACAAAUUUAAAAACAAGGAAACAUAAAUAAGACUUGAUAACAAAAAUACUUGAAAAUCCGUGAGUCGUUAUGUCAAUACCGCCAAUGUCCUACGUCUGUCCUUAUCCACGUGAUCAUCACGAUCUCACGAGUGAUCGUUCUGACGAGAGCACCAAUAAAAAAUAAAGAAUGGAAAUAAACAUCGUUUAAGAAUUCCGCAUUACUUGACGAUCCAGAUAUAAAACAUCGCUUAUGCAGUCACAUCCAGUAACGAAGACCACUGAUAGUAGAAUUAUCAUCGAUCUCCCACAGCUAUGUGCUUUACGCACAGAGAUGCAAUAUCCGUUGCUGUACACGUGGGAUAUCAGCGCCACCAAUUUUCUUGGACGGCCUCUUUUCGUACUAGAUUCUUUAUCAGUACCUACACUGUUCGAUAUGUGAUUCGUGCACGAACGUAGGGAACUGAAUCACACGGAAUACACGCCGCGGAUAUUUUUAGUACGUGAUGAGUUCUAAAAUCAAAUACCUACUGACAUUCAGACGUCAUAUCCAUUUCGAUCGUAAAAAAACUAGAUCAUUCUCUGUUUAACGACUUUCACGUGAGCGCAAGACGGCAAAUACCAUCACUCUGCAAAAAGUCUACAAUCGCAACUGCCUUGUAUUAAUCCUUUCAGUGCGCAGCUCUUCAAAUUUAACGCCUGCCGGAGGAGAAACGUCUUCCAAUUUUGCUCCUGGGAAUAGCUAACAAGAAGAAGCGACCUUCGCAAUGAAUCCAACAUUCAUUCUUUAAGCGUCCUGAAGCCACGUAAAUCACACGCUUCAUGUGUAAACGUUUUUACUGUGUAACCGAGGAGGGCCGAGGAGGAGAAGGCUCAGGCAGAUUAUCUGAUUCAUGGUGAUAUUUUGGGGUAACCUAACCUAACCUACUUGGGAAAGGUGAUCUGGUAAUCGCAGGGUCAUAGGUUAUGUAUCGUUAAAGAUUUUCUACUCUUGACCACUGGUGCGGUCCACGAUCAACCCUCGGAUAACAACAAAGCCAAUAGACACAUAAUUAGGUGUAUGAACUAUGCGCCGUGAUAAAGAAAUACCGAAGAACGUGAUUGCCAUUAAUCACUGGAUAAAUGUGAAGUAAUACACGUAUGACUAUGUAAGUGCGCGAUAAGAGAGUCAAGAAGAAUUAUACAGCAAAGACGUUCCUUCUUCAUACCGAAUCGUCAUAACCAGCAGAGACAGUGUGGACAACGCUUUAAAUAGAAACCUGAACUCCGGACAAUAAAAAAAAAAAACUUGCGACACUCUACAAACAGCCACUACAUCGUUACUGCUUACCGAACACCCUUGGACUCGGAGUAAAGAAAUGUGAAGUAAGAGAUGAAAAUUCGUACUCGGUAUUUCCGUUUCGAUUAUUUAAAUCGUGUCUGGACACGAUAUCUUGAAAGUCAAUAAAGCAACUGUUCGAAAGGACUUUAUUCAGCGGAGUUCAUGACUCCGGUAGUGUGCAGUACCAGAGAAUGCUACUGGCAGGUCAAUUCACCAUUAGGACGGUUUAACAUUCUAGAGCGUCAAUCACGUAACCGUUCAGCGUCACUCUUCCACGUAGUGUGGUUGGUAGGAGUGCGCGGAGGAAAAUGAGCCUUUGAAAGCUGAGCGAAUCGGUGAGUCGAGCACGCAGCGAUAGCUGUAAAUAUACUAUCGAUGUCAAGGUUAGCCUAAAAAAACUGUAAGCUUGGACAUCUCACAUACGACGAAGUCAAGGGACAACUGUUUGUGUGUACAAUCGAUCUCUUACGUGAAACUGCGAACUCGCUCGAGCCGCGACUAAUUAUAAUUAACAGGAUUAAUUUAAGGGCUAAACGUGAUAUAUUAUCAUAAUUCACGUACCUUGCGCGAGAGAAGACCGGCAGUCGGGGUACGAUCGUUCGGAUCGGAUUCAGGAAUCGGUUCGUUCGGAUUUUCCAUAUGCAUACCAGGCCAUCCUACCCAUACUCCAUUUCCGUUUAUUACGACUGGAGCUACGGCUGUGACAAGACCUCCGGCGCUGUAAAAAUAAAAGGAAAAAAAUCCGGAAGAAAGAUAUCACGAGUUUCAUAUUAUUUUCGAAUACCGAUACCGUCUCAGAUUAUUCAACGAUCCUCAGGCCUCAGGUUAUCACUACCAACCAUUAACCAUUCGAUCUCCGUAACUGCGGACGCCGCAUUGAGCACGUACGAUUUUGAGGUUAAAUUUUGUGUUGGCAAACAAUUAUGAAUCAGCCGGUCGACGGGUAUCGCUAAAAUAUACACCGAACGACGUUGCCGUUAUCUCGGAGGAAAAAAUCAACAUUAUACGAAUAAUCGAGACACUGAAAGCCUUAAAUAAAAAUGUAACAAGUACAAACUGUCACUCUCCUUGUAAGCUUGAAAGAUAUAAUACUAGUACGUAAGAAACUUGCGGAAAUUCCAAUACGAACUAAAAGACGACCUUGCGCAAUAUGCCAAUUAAGAUUGAGAAAAACAUAGCAGAUUAGACCGUAUGAAUUUCUGUUGACUCUCUCGAUAAGUCGACAUAGCCAUUAGCCGUAUAGCAAUCGUACAUUUUUUUCCAACAAUUUCAUUAUCGUGCCCAUCCCCAAGCCCUCCCGUACAGUUUUUAUGGUAAACUUGCAGAAAUCAAUGUUGUCUAACAUAGUUGCUGCUCAAUUGUGUAAUCGCACGACUUCCUAUCGGCAAUCGAAAUAUCAUAGAGGUUAAAAGUUCACACGCCCUUUUCAAUUCUCCGCUCGCUUAUAUGACGCAAGUUUCGUAGAUCAACUUUUUUUAGGAUCCAUGCGUCGAUAACAAUUUUGGAACGAUAAACGAUGCCUCGUGUCAACGAAUCAUUGUUUACUCUAUUCUAUCUGUAUUUUUUUACAUACUUUUUUUUUCUCACUGAUGUUCACCGGCUUCACUAAGAUUCUAUAUAUUUUUCAUAGAGAUUAAAAGAAAAAAAAAAAAUUCAUAGAUUCGUUCCACGUAACUGCUGCAACUCGCGCGUGAUACCAAUAAUAAUGAUAACAACGUACAUAGAGAGUAUCCAGUUAUCAAUAUACUCAGCGAUAAAGAACCCUUCGUAAUUACAACCGACAAUUGUCAAUCGUUCAUGAAACACUGACAGUUUGUUUAUUAAAAAAAAUACGCUAACAAAACAAUCGAUCCAAGUCCAUAUCGUACCAAUACACCGUUAGGAGGAUAAUGGCAAAUAAUCGAAUCUUGAAAUAAAAAAAAAAACAAUCCAGCUUCAAGACGCAUCCAUUAAUAUUAUGAUUAUCCCGAUAGUUGAAGUCCUUGUUUAUUCAUUAUUCACAGACUCUCGGACGAGUUCAACAAACUUUAUAUUUACAUACGGAGCAUCGAUGCAUACUUGUCGGCAUAUGGACAUGUAAAGUCUUACGAAACACUCAAAUAUCUACGCCAUAAGACAUAUUUGAUCGUAAAUUUUUGAAAGCAACACUUUCUGUGUCUCCUCGUUUACUCUCUUCGCGAUCCAAGGUUACAAUGUAGUAUCAUGUAGUACAAGAUAAAACGACCGUCUAAACAAUGAAAUACAUUAUCGGCCAGACAGUUGAUCCACGUCUCUUUAAUUUUGCCCUCAAACAAGGAACUAGUCGAUAUACGUGGCUCUAGCUGUUACGAAAGAAAAUCCAAAAGAUUAAUCAUCACGGUGGAUUAGCCAGUCUGACUGAUAAGCACGAGUUAAAUCGUUUCGUCUGAUAUGCGUGAUUGUCGUAUCGAUUAAAAUUCCUAAGGAUACGCGAAGAAUUCGUAAAUUAAAUCAUCACUGAAUCACGUGUACACGAAGCGAAUGAUGAGGCAUUAAAGUGGCGUGUUGUUUCUUAGGAAUGCAAUAGGCUCGCAUGCACGUGACGUUGAACAGACUUGUAUACAUAUAGUAGG